GGUGGCUCAGUGGUAGAGUGCUUGCCUUGCAAGCAUGAAGCCCUGGGUUCAAUUCCUCAGUACCA
This 65-nucleotide transfer RNA is filed under the name Dipodomys ordii (Ord's kangaroo rat). It matches the Rfam family "tRNA". Rfam says of the family: Transfer RNA (tRNA) molecules are approximately 80 nucleotides in length. Their secondary structure includes four short double-helical elements and three loops (D, anti-codon, and T loops). Further hydrogen bonds mediate the characteristic L-shaped molecular structure. tRNAs have two regions of fundamental functional importance: the anti-codon, which is responsible for specific mRNA codon recognition, and the 3' end, to which the tRNAs corresponding amino acid is attached (by aminoacyl-tRNA synthetases). tRNAs cope with the degeneracy of the genetic code in two manners: having more than one tRNA (with a specific anti-codon) for a particular amino acid; and 'wobble' base-pairing, i.e. permitting non-standard base-pairing at the 3rd anti-codon position. The record is from Rfam by way of RNAcentral. Lineage: Eukaryota; Metazoa; Chordata; Mammalia; Rodentia; Heteromyidae.